Molecule: long non-coding RNA, 100 nt
Organism: Salarias fasciatus (jewelled blenny)
Lineage: Eukaryota; Metazoa; Chordata; Actinopteri; Blenniiformes; Blenniidae
Exons: 4
Source: RefSeq, a predicted model, not a curated record
UCACCCAUUCCUUAAACGGGUUAGCAGAGAACCGUGAGUCUGUAGAGAAACAGUGUAAACACUCUUUGUUCAGACAGGAUUAAGAGCUCAGCUGUAUUAU